GAGAAGUUGAUCUGCGAUAGGCGAUUUCAGCUUGAGGGAGCGAUGAUGGAGGGAAAGAACUUCCAUGAUUUCUUUAUCAGCAAACGAAGACGGAAAGUGCAGCGGGGAAGCUUGAGAAAUCUCACGGAUAAGAGAAAAAAUCUGAAGUUUGAUCCAGUGCAGAGUAACCUGUUUCCCUUCAGAGGGCAAGCGAAUGAAAGGGGGCACCGGAUCCGUUGUUCGUUCACCUUCCAGUAUCCGUUCUGUGCUUGAGGACGGGCAGGCAGCCCGCAUACAUGAAGAGAAGAAGAGUAUGUAAGCAUGCAUACUCAUUGUCCCAAAAUUUGGAACCUAUCAGUGAGGGACUAGGUGUUUUACAAUUUAAGACCGGUUUGAUAUCUGUCAUUAAGGACUGGAUGCAUCUUUGAUUUCAGUUUAUUGCAUAAAAUUUCCUGUUGUCAACUAUUUCCUAUGGCAAUUGCUGCUGCUGCUUAAUGAAAUACUAUCAUGAUCAUUUUACUCAAAAAUUUUUCUUCAAUCUGUAAUUCUUUUUAAAAAUUGAAAGUGAGAUUUACAGCUAAAACUACCAGAGGAAUCAAGAGACAAUAUCCUAUUGUCAGUGGUUAGAAGACAGAAAAAUCAUCAAGGAUACCUAAGAGAGCCAAAGGUUGAAAGGAUUCCCUAUCAUUAAGGUUACGAAAGAAAUGGAAGUCCCAAGAGAAAGACAAACCCAGGAUUGAAUCCGCAAUGAUAAAGACAAGGAAAGGCUAGGUUUAAAGAGGUAUCUCCUAUCAAAUGAUCUGCUCAAAACCCACAAAAAUUAUGAUAAUACUACAACAUAGAAUAGCUAGACAAUUCCCAACUAGACACAACACUUUAAACAUAAAAAUGAUAAGAAAGGGA
This is a long non-coding RNA of Arachis ipaensis, 882 nucleotides long. RefSeq lists it as uncharacterized. The record is from RefSeq and is a predicted model, not a curated record. NCBI's taxonomy places the organism in Eukaryota, Viridiplantae, Streptophyta, Magnoliopsida, Fabales, Fabaceae.